UACGUAGGGUGCGAGCGUUGUCCGGAAUUAUUGGGCGUAAAGAGCUCGUAGGCGGUGUGUCGCGUCGGCCGUGAAAACCUGGGGCUCAACCCUGGAAGGCCGGUGGAAACUGUCGGGCUAGAGUCCGGAAGAGGCGAGUGGAAUUCCCGGUGUAGCGGUGAAAUGCGCAGAUAUCAGGAAGAACACCCGUGGCGAAGGCGGCUCUCUGGGACGGUACUGACGCUGAGACGCGAAAGCGUGGGGAGCGAACAGG
RNAcentral lists this ribosomal RNA (253 nucleotides) under uncultured bacterium. Its description in RNAcentral is "partial 16S ribosomal RNA". It matches the Rfam family "Bacterial small subunit ribosomal RNA", at positions 524 to 776 of the family's 1533-position model. The record is from RNAcentral.